AGCUCCAAUAGCGUAUAUUAAAGUUGUUGCAGUUAAAAAGCUCGUAGUUGGAUUUCUGGUACGAUGCCCCUGAUCCGCGCUCUUCGGAGUGUGUGUGUUGGUGUGGCGUCUGCCAUCUUUGUAGAUAUUGCCUUGGGGCCUUUACUGGCUUUGAGUGUCUUUCUCUACAUCUUUUACUUUGAAAAAAUUAGAGUGUUUAAAGCAGGCUUUUGCUAUGAAUACAUUAGCAUGGAAUAAUAAUAUAGGACUUCGGUUCUAUUUUGUUGGUUUCUAGUACUGAAGUAAUGAUUGAUAGGGAUAGUUGGGGGUGCUAGUAUUCAGCGGCCAGAGGUGAAAUUCUUGGAUUCGCUGAAGACUAACUUAUGCGAAAGCAUUCACCAAGGAUGUCUUCU
This 392-nucleotide ribosomal RNA is filed under the name uncultured eukaryote. RNAcentral describes it as "SSU rRNA". It matches the Rfam family "Eukaryotic small subunit ribosomal RNA", at positions 587 to 972 of the family's 1831-position model. The record is from RNAcentral.